CUUAGCGGCAAGGACCACUUGACUUCACACUCCAGAAUGUUUGGCUCUAGCUUCUGCAAAUGGAACCACCAGGCUCUCCCAGUUGUUACUAUCAUGCAUCACAGGACAUUCUGGGAGAAGGAAGAAAACUUCUAAAGCUUCUUGGUGUGGAGAAUUAAAUGGAAGAUUUUUGAGCAGAUUAUCCCUGAGACAUGAGGUUAUCUGUGGUCAAAAAGGAUGCGGGAAAAGACAAGUCAAACACAGCAGGAACUGGGUGCAGUUACUGUAAUAAAAUAAAGUGUGGAACCUGGAGUUUCAUUCCACCAUGAAACUGGAAUGAUCACUUCAUCUUUCUAAAACCCAUGUUUACAAUUCCAUCUUCCCUCCCAAGUACCUCGGAGUACGUAUUUGACAAGUAUUUUUCCCAUCCAGUUGUUGGCGUUUAUGAAGGAGAUCAAGAAAUCACAUGUGCAAGACUGUAUUAAAUGCACAAUGGACUCGGAAUUAAAAGGCAGCCCCCUAAUAAGUUCUAUAGUGUUCCCUCCAGCUCCACUAUCACACCUCACUUAUUAAAGAGGAAGAAUAUGCCAGAAUCUCCAAAAGUAAAACAAAAAUUAAAAAACAAAAACAAACGAAAGGAACUACAAUGAAAAUCAACAUGGUUUCCUGUUAUCUUCUUACAGAAUCACCUGUCUCAUCAAACUCUCUCCACCAAACUCUAGUUUCUCUCUCUCCCAAUAUUCUUAACAAUUUCCCCAAUUCAAAAUGCAAGCUGAAGAAAAAUCUGAAGAAAAAAGUUGAAGAAAAAUUCAAACGGAACUGUGAAUUUUUAUGUUGUUAUGUGGGCUAACAGUAAUAAUUUGCCUAAAAGCCCACUAAGAAGAUAAGCUAGUGUUUCCAGGGUUCUUAUUACUUGCCAGAUAUUGUGCUAAUUCAUACAUAUAGGGUCAUCUAUUCUUGUCAUUUCUCUGUAUAAUAGAUAUUAUUAUCCCCAAUUUAUAAAUGAGAACUCUGCAUGUCAGAGAAAUUAAAUUGCUCAGGGUCACAGA
Long non-coding RNA from Capra hircus (goat), 1028 nucleotides. RefSeq lists it as uncharacterized. The record is from RefSeq and is a predicted model, not a curated record. Lineage: Eukaryota; Metazoa; Chordata; Mammalia; Artiodactyla; Bovidae. The transcript is spliced from 2 exons.